UACAGAGGGUGCGAGCGUUAAUCGGAAUUACUGGGCGUAAAGCGUGCGUAGGCGGUCCGCAAAGUCUGAUGUGAAAGCCCCGGGCUCAACCUGGGAACUGCAUUGGAAACUAACGGGCUCGAGUGUGGCAGAGGGGGGUGGAAUUCCACGUGUAGCAGUGAAAUGCGUAGAGAUGUGGAGGAACACCGAUGGCGAAGGCAGCCCCCUGGGCUAACACUGACGCUCAGGCACGAAAGCGUGGGGAGCAAACAGG
Molecule: ribosomal RNA, 253 nt
Filed under: uncultured bacterium
Lineage: Bacteria
Description: partial 16S ribosomal RNA
Rfam family: Bacterial small subunit ribosomal RNA
Source: RNAcentral